This is a long non-coding RNA of Juglans microcarpa x Juglans regia, 367 nucleotides long. RefSeq lists it as uncharacterized. The transcript is spliced from 2 exons. Lineage: Eukaryota; Viridiplantae; Streptophyta; Magnoliopsida; Fagales; Juglandaceae. The record is from RefSeq and is a predicted model, not a curated record.
GCAUGAAUAAUUUUGGUUGUCCAGUUUUUUUGGCAAGUACACCACCUAGAAGUUUGUUUAUAUUGCAUGCUAUAUAUGCCAAUAACUGGAAGAGGUAGAGGUCGAUCACACGGCGUGAGCUACGGUCGAGGGAAAUGCAAUGAUGAAGUUUGGAAUAAACUACCCAUUGCUACCAUGGAUCUUAGAGAUGACACAUUCUCAAGCUCAGAUGACUCAACCGAGCCACUUGAUGUCAUCCCGAGCACAGAACCAAAUGACAUGCCAGUAGUUGAUUCACCACUAAGCACAAAUCCAUCUGUACCACUUAGCCAAAAGCAUGGGUGAGGAGCAGCAAAGAGCAUAGAGUUCGAAAACGUGCAAAAGCAUG